GUACUCUUUUCCCUAUUGCAUAUACAGUCUUCCCUUUUCAGCACCUAACUUCAACUCUGCACCCAGAAGACCCUGGCCAACCUUUAGGGUCUCGAUUAAUCCUGCAUAUGUGGUUGAGGCCUACAAGAAGCUCUGUAAUUGCCGCCUCAGUUUUUGCUUGAUUUGCAUAAUGGAGUGUUUGUACCAGAAGCACAUUUGUCCUUGAAGCCUCUUGCUCCCUCUCAAAAUUUCGCUCAGAGUGCCAUCUUAUCAUGUUAUGAGCCAGUGGAGACAACCAUUCAAGUAUUUUCGUGAGCACCAGGCUCCAAUUUGCUGCAAGGGAAGCAUCAAAUGCAGAUGGAGAUAGAGAUUUGUCAGCAGCCUUGAGCCUAGUUCUCAGAGCAGCUCGUAUACUUGUGGGUAACAUAUUGUAUAGGUCAUCUCUUGUUUCAAAGUCAAUCAUGUGAGGUGAUGAAGCUAGCCUCUCAACCAAUACAAUCAAAUUUGC
This 487-nucleotide unclassified non-coding RNA is filed under the name Hevea brasiliensis (rubber tree). Lineage: Eukaryota; Viridiplantae; Streptophyta; Magnoliopsida; Malpighiales; Euphorbiaceae. The record is from RNAcentral.